RNAcentral lists this ribosomal RNA (253 nucleotides) under uncultured bacterium. Its description in RNAcentral is "partial 16S ribosomal RNA". It matches the Rfam family "Bacterial small subunit ribosomal RNA", at positions 524 to 776 of the family's 1533-position model. The record is from RNAcentral.
UACGUAGGGCGCAAGCGUUGUUCGGAAUCACUGGGCGUAAAGCGCGUGCAGGCGGCUUGGUAAGUCGGAUGUGAAAUCCCGGAGCUCAACUCCGGAACUGCACCCGAUACUGCCUCGCUAGAGUCCCGGAGAGGAUGGCGGAAUUUCCGGUGUAGAGGUGAAAUUCGUAGAUAUCGGAAGGAACACCAGCGGCGAAGGCGGCCAUCUGGACGGUGACUGACGCUCAGACGCGAAAGCGCGGGGAGCAAACAGG